This 253-nucleotide ribosomal RNA is filed under the name uncultured bacterium. RNAcentral describes it as "partial 16S ribosomal RNA". It matches the Rfam family "Bacterial small subunit ribosomal RNA", at positions 524 to 776 of the family's 1533-position model. The record is from RNAcentral.
UACGUAGGGCGCAAGCGUUAUCCGGAAUUAUUGGGCGUAAAGAGCUCGUAGGCGGUUUGUCGCGUCUGCCGUGAAAGUCCGGGGCUCAACUCCGGAUCUGCGGUGGGUACGGGCAGACUAGAGUGAUGUAGGGGAGACUGGAAUUCCUGGUGUAGCGGUGAAAUGCGCAGAUAUCAGGAGGAACACCGGUGGCGAAGGCGGGAUCCUGGGCCAGUACUGACGCUGAGGAGCGAAGGCGUGGGGAGCAAACAGG